Molecule: transfer RNA, 73 nt
Filed under: Desulfurispirillum indicum S5
Lineage: Bacteria; Pseudomonadati; Chrysiogenota; Chrysiogenia; Chrysiogenales; Chrysiogenaceae
Rfam family: tRNA
About the family: Transfer RNA (tRNA) molecules are approximately 80 nucleotides in length. Their secondary structure includes four short double-helical elements and three loops (D, anti-codon, and T loops).
Source: Rfam by way of RNAcentral
GACCCGUUAGCUCAGUUGGUAGAGCAUCUGACUUUUAAUCAGAGGGUCGAAGGUUCGAAUCCUUCACGGGUCA